ACAGAUGCACACAUCAGAUGACCCCAGUUUUUGGUUGGGGAUGUACAGCUGGAUCAUAGAAUUAAGAUAGCCGUAAGCAGAUCCAGUAAGUUACCUAUAGGCCAAGGUCUAUUAUAAGGAGUCAAGGUAGAGUAGGAGAGGAGUUACAUGUCUCUUUGGCUGAUUGAAGACCUGGCGUGCUGCAGCAUUCUGAAUCAUUUGCAACAAUCUUACUACACAAUCAGGCAGGCCAGCUAACAGUGAAAUACAAUAGUCCAGUUUGGAUAUAACCAUGGCCUGCACAAGAAGUUGUGUGGAAUCUUGUAUCAGAGGUCUGAUCUUCCUAAUGUUGUAAAGGACAAGCCAACACGAUUUUGCAAUUCAGGCUACAUGCUCAAAGAAAUUAAGUCGGUCAUCAAUUAUGACACCAAAGUUACGUGCCAAUCUAGUUCGGGUCAGUGAAGAGGAGUCAAGCUGGAUGUUAAUCUGUUGGGGAAUAGCUGUUUUAGCUGGAAACAUCAAAAGCUCAGUUUUUGAGAAAUGAAGUUGAAGGUGUCGGUCUGUCAUCCAGACUGAAAUAUCAGGCAUGCAUAAAUCUGAUGGGAAACAGUCCUCAGGUGGUAAAGACAGGUAAAGCCGUCCGCAUAGCAGUGAGUGAAAUCCAUGGGAGUGAAUGGUCUCACCCAAGGAAGUGGUGUAAAUAGUGUCCUAAUACUGAUCCUUUUGGCACACCUGUGGUGAGGUCAUGAUACUUUGAUACAAGACACACUGAAAGAACGCCCUUUAAGGUAGGAUUCAAACCAAGAUCUUUCCCAGAAAUUCCCUGUUCAGACAGUGUAGAAAGGAGAAUGUCAUGGUUUACAGUAUCAUAGGCUGCAGGUAAGUCUAUUAGAAUUAAUACUGAUGACUGAGCAGACUCCUGAUUUGAGGUGCUGCUGUUUACGGGUUUGAGUCCGUUAAACAGUAACAGUAAAUGUAAAUAGGUUACAUUAGCUACUCUCAAUGCUUCAGUCACAGACAGAGCAAUUUCAGUAGAAUGACCACUCUUGAAACCAGACUGCAUACGGUCUAGCAGUUUGUUCUGAUACUCAUAGACUUGCUUGAAGAACACUUCCUCCAAAGCCAACAAGAAAGGAAGAAGGGAGACAGGUCUGUAGUUCAUCAAUUGUAUGAAGUGUACUUUUUUUAGCAAAGACAUAACCCUUGCCUGUUUAAAAGAAGAAUCCCAGAUAGCAAAAGAUGUUAUAUCAACGUUGAGUUUUGGUCAAAAUGGUUGAUUUAUGGUUAUAGUUGAAAACUGAUGGUGGAUCAACCACUGAAAGAAUUAGAAGUUGAAAAAAUGUCAUUGAAUCAACAUUGUAUGGUUGAAUUUAAUGGUUGAAUGGCAAUCAUUAGAUCAACGUUGAAUCUAUGUUGUCAUACCGUUUUAGCAGGGUGCAGGCGGGUGGGGGGGCAUUGCUCUUAGGUGAGACCAUUUGAUGGGAGGGGGUUUCAUAUAUUUUAAAUUAAACACAAUGUGCUGUGGACAAUUGAAUGUAACAUUUUUAGCGUGUGUGUAAAACAUGUGUUAUGUGUGUAACCUAUAAGAAAAGCAAACAAACAUCUAAGUCAAAAACGAUCUAAGUCGUCUUUGGACUUAUUUGGAACAGUCCAAAAAGCCGUUACAGAACUUUCAGUCAGACUCAGCCGGUGCGCCAUUUUGACUGCUUCACUUCCAACCUGCCCAGCUUUCUUCUUCGCUUGUGGAUCCAAGACGAGCUGAAUCACAUUUUUUACAGUUAAUACACAGUGUCAUCUUCACAUGGAGACCUGGCUGCAGCCUUUUGUUUUUAUCAUUUAAAUAUCAAGUUUCUGCACCCAUUCACAUCGGGGGUGCAGCUGUGGAGAGAGUCAAAAGCUUCAGAUUCCUUGGUAUAAACCUCAGUGAGGAUCUGAGCUGGACACACCAUAUAUUGGUGUGGUCACAAAGACAGCUAGACAGCGGCUCUUCCUUCUGCGCGGUCUGAGGAAAUUUGGCAUGGACUACAAAAUAUUGACCAACUUUUACCGCUGUACAAUAGAGAGCAUUCUGACUGGUGGCAUAACAACAUGGUAUGGUAACAGCACUGCCCAGGAUCGAAAAUCGCUACAAAGAGUUGUCAGAUCAGCACAGCGCAUUACAAGGACUAAGUUACCAUCCAUCCAGGACCUCUACAGCCAGCACUGCAGAAAAAAGGCCAAGCGUAUAGUCUCUGACCCCAGUCAUCCCAGCCACUGUCUUCUCUCCCUCCUGCCUUCUGGCAGACGAUACAAGAGCAUAAGGACCCGUACCAGCAGGGAUAGUUUUUACCCGCAAGUCAUCAGAAUGCUGAACCGUCCUUGGAAUUCCCCACAUAAUGGCACUUAGUUUUUUGGAUUUUGUUUUACCCUCUUCCUCCUCAUCUCUCCAUCCUAUUUUUAUAUAGUAUUUUUUGUACGGUACGGUAUUGUUUCUGUACCGUUCAUUUUUGGCCAAAAUUCUGUAAAAGUCAUACUGCAGCCUAAACCGUAACUCCAAAACUCUUCAAAUUUUCAGGUAUGGUUACCAGUACCCCCUCUACCCAUUUUGAAGUGAUGGACACUUCAGCACAAGGAAUUUCAAUGCUGAUAAAUGCUUAAUUAUGAGUACAUGAUGAUGAAGUUGAACUUGUUUUUGACAUUAAUUAAAUAAACCUGAAUGUAAAAACAAA
Molecule: long non-coding RNA, 2687 nt
Organism: Alosa alosa (allis shad)
Lineage: Eukaryota; Metazoa; Chordata; Actinopteri; Clupeiformes; Clupeidae
Exons: 3
Source: RefSeq, a predicted model, not a curated record